RNAcentral lists this ribosomal RNA (253 nucleotides) under uncultured bacterium. RNAcentral describes it as "partial 16S ribosomal RNA". It matches the Rfam family "Bacterial small subunit ribosomal RNA", at positions 524 to 776 of the family's 1533-position model. The record is from RNAcentral.
UACAGGGGGUGCAAACGUUGCUCGGAAUUAUUGGGCGCAAAGCGCGCGUAGGCGGCUACCUAAGUCGGAUGUGAAAGCCCCUGGCUUAACUGGGGAAGUGCACCCGAAACUGAGUAGCUAGAGUGCGAAAGAGGGUCGCGGAAUUCCCGGUGUAGAGGUGAAAUUCGUAGAUAUCGGGAGGAACACCGGUGGCGAAGGCGGCGACCUGGGUCGACACUGACGCUGAGGCGCGAAAGCGUGGGGAGCAAACAGG